Bos taurus (domestic cattle) is the source of this 2473-nucleotide long non-coding RNA. Lineage: Eukaryota; Metazoa; Chordata; Mammalia; Artiodactyla; Bovidae. The record is from Ensembl.
AUCUCCAACGUGUGUGUGUAUAUGUAAACAUAUAUAUAUAUGCAUACACGUGUGUGUAUGUGUGUGUAUGUAUAUAUAUAUACAUACACACACAUACACACAUAUUCACUCACACUGUUUCGUUUCUCCUUCCAUAAGUUUUCUCCUUUUUAAAAAUUUGGCCCCAACAAACGUCAAGUUCUGGUGUUUUAAUACAAGUGAAUUACUAAGAGGGUCGUGUUCAAUCUUAAUUAACUUAUGCUCUCAUCACUCAUUUUAUUUAAUUGCCACAGUCAUCUAGAGCCAAUUUUUUUUUGUUUUUGUUUGUUUUGUUUUGUUUUUAAGCACUCUGGAUAAAAAAAAUACACACUUGUUUUUAUAUCGUUAUUAUGUACAAUGUGAAAACAGAUUUUUAAAAAUUUGUUGUCUUUGUUAACAAAUUCUUUCUGACUCAUGUGCGUUCACCUCUCACUUUUGCUGGAUACUUAUUUCCCACCAUGUUAUAAAGAUGCUUCGUUUUCAUUUCAUGACUUUGGACUACAAGAAUACUUUGUUUUAGCUCCAGGUAGAUGCCUCUGAGGGCGUUCAUGACCAACACCAGUUCUAACACACUUACCAGUGAAUUGACAAAACACUUUUGUUUAGUCUUUUUUUGUUUGUUUUUUUAUCUUGUUUUAUUUGAAGAGGAAAAUCAAAUUGUUAAUGGUGACCUUUAACAGCUGAAAUUCAAGCGUUGAUUUUAAUGUUACCUAGUUAGGUUUAUGUCAGAGAGAUGAAAAUGUGCAUGGGUUGAAACAAAGAGCAAGUUCAAAGCUUUGCAUUCUGUUCUCUUGUUUUGAUGUCCAGUUCACUGAGGGUCACAAUUGUUUUGCCUUAACUUCCCCCACCCCCCCAAAAAAAAACAAAAAAAUCAUGUUAGUGUUUAAAAUGCUUUGAAGUCAUUUGAUAAAGGUGCUAUGAAUGGCAAAGUAUUGGGUUAGCACAUUGCCUUUGGGGCAUUUGAUUGGUUUAUAAGUUUUGUAAAAGAUCCUAAAACCUGUAUUCUUUUUCUGUGCCCCUUAAUGACCAAAAAAGACAAGGGCAAGGAAAUGAGAGUAAGAUCAAACUCAAAUGAACAUAAAGUUUCCCUUCUCUUUCAUUCCCUACCUACCAACCUGUUCACUUUUUGCAUACCACCCCCAUCCCCGUCUCUCUCUCUCUCUCAUACACACACACACACACACACGCACACACCAGCACACACGCUCACCCCAGUACUGAGGGAUAAUCUUGCCAGAAUUCUGUUUUUGUUUUUGUUUAUGGCUGUUGUAAUCAAUUUUUCUAAAAAUACUCAUAUUUUAAUAUGAAUCUAGGAGAGCAUCACUGGAGAAAAUAGGUUACAGUUACUCAUAUAUAAGAUACUAAGAAUUUGGCCAAUAACUACAAUUGAAUAAAACACAAGACUAUUCUUCAGUCCGCUUAUACCUAAAUUAGUUGUCAAUUCUAACGUUCAUUUGGCAUAUGCAGUUAAGAGUUAACCAUGUAUAAAAUCCCUCCCAAAGAGCGUAAUCAUUAUUGCAACCAAAUCCUCUUUAUAAGAAACAAAUAUAAAAGAGUUUCUUUGAUGAAAUCAUUCCAUAGAUUUGAUUUUGACAUAGGCGUUUUACCUUCAUUCAUUUAAAGAAAAUUAUCUUUAAAUAUUUUAUGGUCCAACUUCAGAUAUUUUCUUAAUCCAGAAGAUGUUAUUGUUCCCAGAAGAAAUGUCUUAUAUCACAUUGAAAACAUCAAAAAUCAUUACGUUUUCAUUUGUUCUAAUGGGUAAAUUAUUUGAAUUGUAAUAAACAACUGUAUAUUUACAAACAGGUUUAUAAAAUAUUUGUCUAUCAAGUUAAUAGUAAAAUAAAAAGUAUAGGGUCUGCAAGGACAAAUAUGAAGCCCACUUAAAGUGGUUCAGAGAUCUCUUUCAUCUUAUAGGGCAUAGGUUUUUGUUUAGACAGGCUUUUACAGUAUUUAAUUUUAAUGUUUCCUGUAACUGUCGGUUCCCCAGGUUGAAGAUGUUAGGUUUUCUACUGACUGGUUCCUGUCCUCCCCAGUGUUUGUCACUGGCUCACUAGAACAGUAUUUGUACAGCUCCACUGGCUCUAAAGCUCUUAGUCCUUCUAACGUUUUGGAUUUUAUGAGUAAAAAUGGGAAAAAGUAGAAAAGAGACAAUCAAAUGCCUGGAGCUUAAAACAAAGUAUGUGCAACCUACCAUCUCACUUGAAAUUUAAUAAAAUAAAUAAUUAUGUAAAUAUAACAUAGAGUUAUAGAUUUAUAUUUUGUUCAUAACACAUAGUGUAAUAUAAGUUGUAUAUUUUCUUGUUUUUGGUUUUAUGUUAUCAUUCAUGCCACAAUAAAAAUAAAACAGGAGUUUAUGUACUCUUAAAAAAAAAAAGAUGUGGGUUGCCACCAACCUGUUUUUUUUUUUUUUUCGGUUUGUUUUUUGUUUUUAUUUUUUGUUUUUGCAUUCUCUUUU